RNAcentral lists this ribosomal RNA (496 nucleotides) under uncultured bacterium. Its description in RNAcentral is "partial 16S ribosomal RNA". It matches the Rfam family "Bacterial small subunit ribosomal RNA", at positions 28 to 506 of the family's 1533-position model. The record is from RNAcentral.
GAUGAACGCUGGCGGCGUGCCUAAUACAUGCAAGUCGAGCGAACAGACGAGGAGCUUGCUCCUCUGAUGUUAGCGGCGGACGGGUGAGUAACACGUGGAUAACCUACCUAUAAGACUGGGAUAACUUCGGGAAACCGGAGCUAAUACCGGAUAACAUGUUGAACCGCAUGGUUCAACAGUGAAAGACGGUCUUGCUGUCACUUAUAGAUGGAUCCGCGCCGCAUUAGCUAGUUGGUAAGGUAACGGCUUACCAAGGCAACGAUGCGUAGCCGACCUGAGAGGGUGAGGGGCCACCCUGGAACUGGAAACGGGUCCAAACUCCAAGGGGGGGCCGCAGGGGGAAAUUUCCCGAAAGGGGGGAAAGCCUGCGGGAGAAACGCCGGGGGGGUGAAGAAGGGCUUGGGAUCGUAAACCUUUUUUAUUAGGAAAAAACAAAUGUGAAAGUAACUACCACCGUCUGGACGGUACCAAAACAGAAAGCCACGGCUAACUACGU